UGGCUCAGAUGGUAAAGUGUCUGCCUACAAUGCAGGAGAUCCAGGUUCGAUCCCUGG
This 57-nucleotide transfer RNA is filed under the name Bos taurus (domestic cattle). It matches the Rfam family "tRNA", at positions 8 to 63 of the family's 71-position model. Rfam says of the family: Transfer RNA (tRNA) molecules are approximately 80 nucleotides in length. The record is from Rfam by way of RNAcentral. RNAcentral also lists the same sequence under 4 other names. Lineage: Eukaryota; Metazoa; Chordata; Mammalia; Artiodactyla; Bovidae.